Molecule: non-coding RNA, 116 nt
Filed under: Parafrankia sp. Ea1.12
Lineage: Bacteria; Bacillati; Actinomycetota; Actinomycetes; Frankiales; Frankiaceae
Source: RNAcentral
GGAGGUUGGCCCUCCGGGAUCGCCCUGCAGGGGGAGGUCCCAAACCGCCGCACGCCGCUGCGGUUAAGGCCCGUGGUGGUGAGCAGUUGCGGAAAAGGCGCCUUCAGGCGUCAGGU